GGAGAUCCAUCCUUAGUGAAAGCUGAAUGUUCUUUGAAGACAUUGGAAAAAACGUGGGAUAUAGAAGAUCAAGGCUUCCUCUUAGAAUUCCAGAAUUAUGAGAUGGAAGUAGAGAAUGAAUAUGAACUGGGGACAAGACUAAAAGGAGAUGAGGAGGAAAUAUCUAUGAUCCGAUCCCUGCUCAAGUAUUAUGCGGAGAUAUUUGAGACACCGAAGAAAUUACCUCCAAAAAGAGCUAUUGAUCACCGAAUAUUAACCCUACCUGACCAUAAACCUAUCAACGUAAGACCUUACAAAUACGGUCAUGUGCAGAAAGAAGAAAUAGAAAAACUGGUGGUCGAGAUGCUUCAAGCAGGGGUUAUUCGCCCUAGUCAUAGCCCUUACUCCAGCCCGGUGUUGUUAGUGAAGAAAAAAGAUGGUGGAUGGAGAUUUUGUGUCGAUUACCGCAAGUUAAAUCAGGCGACAGUAUCGGAUAAGUUCCCAAUUCCUGUGAUAGAGGAAUUAUUAGAUGAGCUGAAUGGGGCAACGGUUUUCUCGAAAUUAGAUCUGAAAUCUGGUUAUCACCAGAUUAGAAUGAAAGAGGAAGAUGUGGAGAAAACUGCGUUCCGCACACAUGAAGGGCACUAUGAGUUUCUAGUAAUGCCGUUUGGUCUCACGAAUGCUCUGGCAACCUUCCAAUCUUUGAUGAACCAGGUAUUUAAACCUUUCCUUCGGCGCUGUGUUUUGGUUUUCUUUGAUGAUAUACUGGUUUAUAGUGCGGAUAUAGAUGAACACGCAAAGCAUUUGGGCAUGGUAUUCAAUGUUUUGAAGGAUAACCAGCUGUUUGCUAACAAAAAAAAAUGCGUUAUAGCCCAUUCUCAAAUACAGUACUUGGGACAUAGGAUAUCCAAAAGAGGAGUUGAGGCAGAUGAGGAUAAGAUCAAGAAGAUGAUUGAUUGGCCACCACCAACGAAUAUAUCUGGUCUGCGGGGCUUCUUAGGACUGACAGGAUAUUAUAGGAGGUUUGUCAAGGGUUAUGGAGAGAUUGCUGCACCGCUAACCAAGUUAUUACAGAAGAAUGCUUUUAAGUGGAAUGAAGAAGCAAAUACUGCCUUCGAAAAUUUGAAGCUAGCAAUGACUACUCUACCAGUGUUGGCAUUACCAGAUUGGAACAUUCCCUUUAUUAUCGAAACUGAUGCAUCUGGCGUAGGGUUAGGAGCGGUGAUCUCUCAAAAUGGCCACCCGAUUGCCUUUUUCAGUCAGAAGUUAUCCACAAGGGCUCAAAACAAACCCAUCUAUGAAAGAGAGUUGAUGGCUGUAGUUCUAUCAGUUCAAAAAUGGAGGCAUUAUUUGCUGGGCAGGAAGUUCACCAUACUUUCAGAUCAAAAGGCUCUUAAAUUCUUGCUUGAACAGAGAGAGGUACAGCCCCAAUUCCAGAAAUGGUUGACAAAGCUCCUUGGAUAUGAUUUCGAGAUUUUAUAUCAACCCGGACUUCAGAACAAGGCAGCGGACGCCCUAUCUAGAAUGGAGCAACCGGUGGAGCUGCACAGCUUGACAACUACUGGAAUCAUUGAUGUGAAACUAAUCGAGCAGGAAGUUGAGAAUGAUGCUGAACUUAAGAAAAUUAUGGAAAAUCUGAAGAAAAAUGCAGAAGAAGGAAGCAAGUUUCAAGUGGAAAAAGGAAGAUUGCUCUAUAAGGGGAGAAUGGUAGUAUCUCAAACUUCUACACUUAUACCCAAGAUCCUACAUACUUUCCACGAUUCUAUCCUCGGGGGACAUUCUGGAUUUUUAAGAACUUACGAGAGGAUCAGUGGAGAACUAUAUUGGAGGGGUAUGAAGGCUGAAAUAAAGAAAUAUGUGGAACAAUGCGAGAUCUGCCAGAGAAACAAAUACGAAGCAACCAAACCAGCUGGGGUACUUCAACCAAUUCCAAUUCCUGACAGAAUCUUAGAAGAUUGGACCAUGGACUUUAUUGAGGGGUUGCCACUAGCUGGAGGGGUUAAUGUGAUCAUGGUGGUAGUUGAUCGGCUGAGUAAGUAUUCUUACUUUAUAUCAUUGAGACAUCCGUUUUCAGCCAAGCAAGUUGCUUCCAUAUUCAUCGACAGAAUAGUAAGCAAGCACGGCAUUCCUAAGUCGAUUAUCACAGAUCGGGAUAAAAUCUUUCUUAGUAAUUUUUGGAAGGAACUGUUUGCAACCAUGGGAACUAUUCUAAAGAGGAGUACCGCGUUUCACCCACAAACUGAUGGGCAGACAGAAAGGGUAAAUAGAUGUCUCGAAACUUAUCUGCGAUGCUUCUGUAAUGAACAACCAAAAAAAUGGGAUAGACUGAUUCCAUGGGCAGAAUUGUGGUAUAAUACCACCUUCCAUGCAUCCACCAAAAUGACCCCUUUCAGGCGGUAUACCGCAGACCGCCUCCUCCCCUGUUAUCCUAUGGUUACAAGAAAACUCCUAAUAAUGAGGUUGACACGCUGCUGAAGGAACGUGACUUAGCCAUCAAUGCCUUAAAAGAACACCUGUGUGUAGCCUAGAACAGGAUGAUGAAAAUGGCUGAUCGAAAUAGAAGAGAGUUAAAAUUUAAGGUAGGAGAUGAAGUCUACUUGAAAUUGAGACCUUACCGGCAACGCUCCUUGGCUCGGAAGAAGUGUGAAAAGUUAGCACCUAAAUAUUACGGACCCUACAAAAUUACUGAAGAAAUAGGAGCAGUUGCGUACAGAUUGAUGUUACCGCCGGAAGCCAGUAUCCACAAUGUGUUCCAUAUUUCUCAGUUAAAACUGAAACUGGGUAGUCAACAAGCUGUUCAACACCAGCAACCUAGGCUAACGGAAGAGUUUGAGUUACAAUUAUGGCCGGAAACAGUGUUGGGAGUCCGUUGGAAUCGGGAAUUGGGAGGAAAUGAAUGGUUAAUUAAGUGGAAAGGGCUGCCGGACAGUGAAACAACUUGGGAAUCUGUUUUCCAAAUGAACCAACAAUUCCCUGACUUGCACCUUGAGGACAAGGUGAACCUGGAACCGAGGGGUAUUGUAAGGCCCCCUAUUAUCCAUACAUACAAAAGGAGGGGUAAAAACGUAAAAGCUCACGCAGCAGAAAAGGGGAGAAUAUUAGGAAAAGAACAUGAGAGUGGGGCCCACGGGGAAGAAUGAGAAAAGAGCUAUAAAUAAGGCCUUAUCGGGAUUGGGGGCUAGGUUAACUUUUUGUCUUCAUUUGGUCUGUAGAGGCUGCUAGGUCUAGGAAGGACUACUAUCUUUUCCUGGGGAGGUUUGACAUAUUUCCAUCUUUAUUGCUUUCUUUUAUAUUUCCUUCUACUGUAUCUCUUGGCAUUUAUAUAAAAUAAAGAUCUACAGAGUGCUGUCUCUGUUUGCCAACUGUUUGGGUAAUUUAGUAUUUUAUUUGUGGAGUCUCUACAACUGGUAUCAGAGCCCAAACGCUGGGGGUGGUGACGCGGCUGAUGGCGCAAAGGCAAAUAGAAGAAAGAAUAGAUGGAACAGAGAAAGAAAUACUGAGCUUGAAGGAAAUGAUUCUGGAAACGAAGAAAAUCCAUGGAUAGACUGGCAUGAAAUGAAAGAAAACAGCAGCUACAAAAGGCGAGAUGAAUCCGGAACUUCUGAUGGAUCAGUCAUGAAGUUAAAAGGAAAAUGGGAAGAAGCCGACAAUCCAGGGAAAACAAUGUAGUAACUGUCGACCGAAGCAAAUAUAAGAAACUGGAAAUGCCGAUUUUCACCGGGGAAAAUCCUGAGUCAUGGGUGUUUAGAGCUGAGCAUUUUUUCGAAAUUAAUAGCCUACCGGAAGCAGAAAAAGUGAAAGUAGCAGUGGUUAGUUUCGGACAAGAUGAAAUCGAUUGGUACCGUUGGAGUAACCAUAGAAAGAAGGUGGAAGGAUGGGAAGAUUUGAAGGUAAGGAUGUUUGAAUUUUUUCAAGAUUCUGGGCAGAAGAGCUUAGGUGCAAGGCUGAUUCGAAUAGAACAAGAUGGAUCCUAUAAUGAUUAUGUCAAGAAAUUCGUACAAUAUUCUGCACCACUACCGCACAUGGCUGAAAGCGUGCUCUUAGAUGCAUUCGUGACAGGUCUAGAACCGGCUCUUCAAGCAGAAGUUAUUAGUAGACAUCCUCAAACCUUAGAGGAAUGUAUGAAGGAGGCACAACUGGUAAGUGGCAGAAACCUAGCCUUGAAAUUAGCCAAGGCAGAAUGGGUAAACAGUGUGACUAGGGAAGGAGGAGGCUCAAGCAAGGGACAAAGCAGUCAAGAUAAAAGUUCACCAAAGAAGACUGAGUUCCCCAUGAAGCAAGUCACUAUUCCCAUUAAAGGAAACUACCAGAAAAAUGAACCUCCAGUUAAAAGACUCUUGGACACGGAAUUCAGAGCAAGAUUGGACAAGGGUUUGUGUUUUAGAUGCAAUGAGAAGUACUCACCGCGGACACCGAUGCAAGAUGAGAGAGAAAAGGGAAUUAAUGUUAUUUAUACUUAACGAAGAAGAGAGUGGUGGGGAGGAAGUCAAAAUGGAAGAGACCGAAGAAGUAAUGGAGCUGAACCAGUUAGUUGUUGCUGAAACCACCGAAAUUGAAUUGAAGACACUCACGGGGUUAACAUCCAAAGGGACAAUGAAACUGAAGGGGCAUGUAAAAGGAAGGGAGGUGGUGAUUCUCAUCGACAGUGGAGCUACGAACAACUUCAUCCAUGAAGCAGUGGCAAUGGAAGGAGGGUUGAACAUUGAACCCGGUACACAAUUUGGAGUGACUAUUGGAGACGGACCCGCUGUAGAGGGAAAGGUAUUUGCAGAAAGGUGGAACUGAGAUUGAAAGAAAUGACAGUUAUAACUGAUUUUCUAGUGGUGGAACUAGGAAAUAUUGACGUGAUUUUAGGGAUGCAAUGGCUAGAUACCACCGGCACAAUGAAGGUACAUUGGCCAUCAUUAACCAUGACCUUUUGGGCAAAAGACAAGCAAAUCGUGUUAAGAGGAGAUCCAUCCUUAGUGAAAGCUGAAUGUUCUUUGAAGACAUUGGAAAAAACGUGGGAUAUAGAAGAUCAAGGCUUCCUCUUAGAAUUCCAGAAUUAUGAGAUGGAAGUAGAGAAUGAAUAUGAACUGGGGACAAGACUAAAAGGAGAUGAGGAGGAAAUAUCUAUGAUCCGAUCCCUGCUCAAGUAUUAUGCGGAGAUAUUUGAGACACCGAAGAAAUUACCUCCAAAAAGAGCUAUUGAUCACCGAAUAUUAACCCUACCUGACCAUAAACCUAUCAACGUAAGACCUUACAAAUACGGUCAUGUGCAGAAAGAAGAAAUAGAAAAACUGGUGGUCGAGAUGCUUCAAGCAGGGGUUAUUCGCCCUAGUCAUAGCCCUUACUCCAGCCCGGUGUUGUUAGUGAAGAAAAAAGAUGGUGGAUGGAGAUUUUGUGUCGAUUACCGCAAGUUAAAUCAGGCGACAGUAUCGGAUAAGUUCCCAAUUCCUGUGAUAGAGGAAUUAUUAGAUGAGCUGAAUGGGCAACGGUUUUCUCGAAAUUAGAUCUGAAAUCUGGUUAUCACCAGAUUAGAAUGAAAGAGGAAGAUGUGGAGAAAACUGCGUUCCGCACACAUGAAGGGCACUAUGAGUUUCUAGUAAUGCCGUUUGGUCUCACGAAUGCUCUGGCAACCUUCCAAUCUUUGAUGAACCAG
Molecule: long non-coding RNA, 5620 nt
Filed under: Cucumis sativus (cucumber)
Lineage: Eukaryota; Viridiplantae; Streptophyta; Magnoliopsida; Cucurbitales; Cucurbitaceae
Description: long non-coding RNA (CSAT_LNC000661)
Source: RNAcentral